This 73-nucleotide transfer RNA is filed under the name Paenibacillus rigui. RNAcentral describes it as "Paenibacillus sp. WPCB173 tRNA". It matches the Rfam family "tRNA". Rfam says of the family: Transfer RNA (tRNA) molecules are approximately 80 nucleotides in length. Their secondary structure includes four short double-helical elements and three loops (D, anti-codon, and T loops). Lineage: Bacteria; Bacillati; Bacillota; Bacilli; Caryophanales; Paenibacillaceae. The record is from Rfam by way of RNAcentral.
GGGGCCUUAGCUCAGCUGGGAGAGCGCAUCGCUGGCAGCGAUGAGGUCAGGGGUUCGAUCCCCCUUGGCUCCA